CCGCUCACUCUCUGCUGAUCCCUGCCGAGUGAACGAGAUCUUUGGUUUUGCCUUUGCUGACUGCUGAUCUGAUCAUCUCAAGUCUGAGUGAACAGAUCUUUGGUUUUGCCUUUGCUGACUGCUGAUCUGAUCGUCUUAAGUCUGGUGACCUGCUGCAGAAGCUCUCUCCCUCUAUCAUUGACAAGCCAUUCAGUCUGUCCUAUCACUCUACCCACUCUAUCUAUUUUGACAAGACGUUCUAUCUUGCUUCACUCUAUCCCACAAGCUCUAUCUAAGUUAUCAAAAAUCACGUUUUUAACUGGAAUCAAAUUUUGACUGGAAUCAAGUUUUGACUGGAAUAAUCAAGUUUUGACAUGGUCCCCAUUUUUGGGAAAUUGAAGUUACCAGUACUUCAUCUAUCUGUUACAGAAUUCUGAGAGAUCUCUGCUCUCACUCCUCCUUCUUUUCUGUCGUUAAACUCUCUCACAUCCAGUCUUUUUGCUGGAAAUUACAAGUAGAAAGUUGACUAUACAGUAGUAUAUUAAAAGUACAGUAAAACAGAGUAGAAAUUAUUUACGCAGCCCUAUAUUUCUAAUUUUUAUUUGUACAUUUGUAGCACGUUGAAUAAACACUGAUUAUUUGGCUUACAGGUGCAAUUACUUUGAUAAAUUCUAUAAAAUAUUCACCUUUUUAAGGUUUAUUUGGAAUAAGAUAAUCUUAUACUGUAAUACAUAUUUUCAGAGUGCUAUAUUCACAUAAAUAUUUAAUUUGAUUUCUUCAAAUACCUUUUGCUAGUUUGUUUCAUUGGAAAUAACAUUUGA
Molecule: long non-coding RNA, 800 nt
Organism: Oreochromis aureus
Lineage: Eukaryota; Metazoa; Chordata; Actinopteri; Cichliformes; Cichlidae
Source: Ensembl